UUAAAUUGAUGUGGUUUUCCCUUAUUUUUUUCUGAUGGAACUCCCUCAUUCUCAGAGAGCUGUACCUUUAGAGAGAAGGCAGAUUCAAAGUUCUGGCUGCUUCCUGGGUAGAGGUCACCAGUCAGUGUCCACCAGAUGCCCCCGACAUCCCAUCGAUACAGGACGGCAGCCAAAGCUGCGGGUGACAGCACAGUCCAGGCUGAAGGUCCUUGAGUCAGUGAGCUGCUGGCUCCUAAGUUCAAGGACUGUGCAGAACUGUGGCAGGUGGGAAGAUGUUCUCCCUCAAAAAGAGUCCAGAGAGAACCUGAUGGCAGGACAGCCAUGUGCCCCUCCCGAGCCUGCUCUCCACUCCCCACCUCCUAUCAGGAAGGUGGGCUCAUCUGAUCCCAAAGGUCAGAAUCAAAGAGUUCCUGUGGCCUCUCCCACUCACCCUCAGACCCACCCAAACACACACAGCUAACAGAAGACUUGGGACACCAGGCAGGAGGGCAGGGGCAGGCAGAGAGGGAAGAGGAGAGAGUGGAGAGUUUGUCUCAGGCUCCCUCCCUGGGCAGCACUAGGAGCAGGUGGCUCAAGGUUAGAGUGUCAAGGUCAUGGGCCCUUCUCUUCACCCACCUCUUCUAGAGGCUCACCACCAUUCCUUCCCCUUGUCCCUUUGGGCCUAGAGGUGGUAACAGGCCCUCGGUCACUCCUUGGGCUUGCCUGAAUGUAUAAAUGGGCCUCCUCUAGUGACCCUGUCACCUGCUGAGGACUGGACUGCUGAGCUGCCAGCCCUCUCCAGAUCGUCAUCAGCCCAGGACUGGAGAGUCCUUCCAACCUUGGCAGGAAGGUGGUUGGGAAAUGUGCUGUACUCUGGAGGGUGGGGGGAGACAGGAACCUGGCUCUGCAGGUACUCAGAGACCCCGGGGCGGUGCAAAGGAAGCCCGCUCCGUGAGUGGGUAAAUGGCCACCAUCGAUCUUUCUAGUUGAGAUGCUGGGAGAGACUCAGCCACAGUGAGUACUGGGGGAAGGGCAAAGAGGAAAAGGGCUGAAGGACGCAGCCCACCCUUACCUAAUCUUCUUCUUACCCUGGGGAAUUCUCUGUCCCAGCAAUCAUAAAAUACCCACCUGAUUUAGGAGCAAAUGGUGACAGAAGAAGUUGCUCUUUGAGCACUUGGCACUAGACGGUCCUCAUGAUAAGUCGCGGAGGAUUUAAAAGGUUGCUGACAUUUCCCGUUAUGUAUCUUUUCAUUAGAGGUAACUAUCACUUUAAGCAAAUUGUUUCAGGGCCUGGAAUGUAGCAAUAAGUGAUCUAAUUAGUGUAGGUUGUAAUUUAGGAAGGUUCAUUAUGUCACAGACAUUAUGACUCCUGGGUAUUACUAAAGGACUCGUUUGUAGCCCCUGAAAUGAUUUUCUCAUGAACACACAUAAUGUCACCCACAGAACUAGAGUGGGGCCUUAAGAUGAUUUCACAUAUUUGAAACUCCAGCUUUCUUGGGGACUGAAUUUUGAGACAGUCAUAAACAAACCAACAGACAGUAUAUGCGUCAGAUUUAUGCCCAGUUAAAGGGAAACCAGUUCUGACUAGCGCAGUGUGGAACCCUUCGAUUCUGUUACUCGGUGUCAAGUAAAUCACUAAGACAAAGGUACCAUUAAAUGAUAACCAAGACACCAAAAGAAUUUCAAUCCCAUAGAGUCAGAAAGCCUGAGAAAUAGCCGGUUGAGCUUUUCUUACUUUCUUUUGUAUCUUCAGUCCCCCAAAGAAAG
RNAcentral lists this long non-coding RNA (1746 nucleotides) under Marmota monax (woodchuck). Lineage: Eukaryota; Metazoa; Chordata; Mammalia; Rodentia; Sciuridae. The record is from RNAcentral.